Molecule: long non-coding RNA, 1830 nt
Filed under: Callithrix jacchus (white-tufted-ear marmoset)
Lineage: Eukaryota; Metazoa; Chordata; Mammalia; Primates; Cebidae
Description: lncRNA (ENSCJAG00000052906.2)
Source: RNAcentral
AUGCAGUGGGGUCUUUGCCUCUCCCGCAGAAGGAGGGGUCAGGCAGGAGGAAGAGGAGACUUCCUGGUUCCCCAAAGGCUAUGCAUACUCUCCUCUCCUGUCUCUCCUUCCCUGCAUGGCCCAGUGAGGGAGGCUGGGCAGAUUAGAUGCAGCUGGUUGGCACCAUGGGCCCAAGAUGAACAAGCCUGUCUCCCUGGUGCUCCCCACAUGGGGUUGGAAGCAAACGCCAGAGGUCAUGCCCAGGCUGGGUGCCAAAGUCAAGAUGGGCAGUCAGUUUCCACUGUCAUCAGGGUAGAAUACCCAUGCCCACCUGCAGACCCUGCCCUACCUACGUCUGAGACCAUCCUCACGAGCAGCAAGUAUCUUGACAACCUCCGUAAUGCCAGCCCUUGGGGCUAGGAUGACUUCCUACCACCCACAGGCCUAAGCCUAAUAUGGCCAGGUCACCCUUAGGGUCAUGUGCCCGCAAGUUGAUCCCUAGAUUGGCUCAGAAAAAAGGACAAGAUUCCUACCUCCGUUUCCCUGCCCAGCACUCCAUUGCCCCACACACCUUGAGCCCUGCUCUGACCCCACUGUCUGCUUAGUGGGGACCCUGGCAUCCUGCCAGUGUUUCCCAGUCCCUUCCCUCGAAGCUGGAGCUUGCAUCCCAGACUACGCAGAGCUUGCCACAUCUGUUGGACCCUGGACAGAGGGUUUGGUUGGUCUUGCCAGGGCCACACCUGCCUUGUUCCUCCGGUCCCAGGACCUUCACCCUUCCAGGGAGCCUGUCAGCUGCGAUCACUGCGGCACCAGUAGGUGUCACACCCGAAUUGUCUCCUUUCUUCCCGCCUCUUUUCAUAUUUAUUCAGUGGACUGGACAGUGUAGGUCAGUGGCUGGAUGAUGCGCUCGUUGCCUUGGUAAAAGCAGAGAAAAGCUAAAAAGGGAGCAGAGGCAGGAAGAGGCCAGGUGUCCCUUGGAAGAGCCCGACAUGGCUGCUCCAGGAGCCAGAGCAGGAAAGGGAGGAGGUGUGAAGGGGCGCUGGUAGAAGGCCCAGUGCAAAUACAGACACCAGCAUCACCAAGCAUGUGUUGCAUGUGGGUUCAAUGUCCACGCCCCACAGUCAGACCACCCAGUUCCAAUAACUUUGGGUGAUCUUAGAUAAAUAACUUAAUGGAGUUCUCUGAGUCUCACCUGAAUUUCUUUAUCUAAAAAAUAGAAAUAACGAAACCUUGGGGGGUUACAAGAAGAAUUACAUGAGACAGUAUACAGACUUUGCCUGUCAUAUAGGAGACAGGAGCCACUCUAGAUGAUAGGAGCCAUUGUUUUAUUGGAAAAUAGAUAUUAAUACAUCCUACUUUGGGUAUAGGAACACCACCUCCAGGAAGCCUUCUAGGCUGGCUUUCUUUCAAGCUUCUAGAGCACUUUUUCAGGAAAGAGAGAGCAAAGGAAUGGGGUGGGUGCAGAUAAAGCUAAGAAACAGAAACAAGCAUGCUUUUUGCACCUACCUGAGGCCAGGCCCUGCGCUAGACACUUGGUAUACUACACCUCAUUCUAUCUACCCAGCAGCCGCAAAGACAAACGUUCUAGUUGGCCCCACAAAACAGUGACUCAGCCUCAGUCACUGGCCUGUGAGUUGCUUCUGCAUGUUUGAUGUGGUGACCUGCAAGGCCCGGCAGGGACACUUCUAGGCAAAUGGCUCAGGACUGUCAUUUGGUGAUCUCAUGGAGAAGAACCACCCUUUUCCAAGGCCGAGGGGUUGUAAGUGGCAGAACGUUGCACUUUUUUCCUGCAGAGCAGCAGGGUGAGGGAGAAGCAGGAACGUGGACUCUGCCAAUCAAAGGCAAGGCCAG